This is an RNA transcript of Leptopilina heterotoma, 3017 nucleotides long. It is a transcript of the gene named segment polarity protein dishevelled homolog DVL-3, with no coding region annotated. The transcript has 11 exons. Lineage: Eukaryota; Metazoa; Arthropoda; Insecta; Hymenoptera; Figitidae. The record is from RefSeq and is a predicted model, not a curated record.
UUUUCAGUGCUUUUAGAACAUAUAUUAUAGAAGGAAGCUGAUUCCGCAGAGUUAGUUUAUAUAUAGCACAAAAGUUAUCAAAAGAAACAUCUUUUUAAAAAUAGUGUUUGAUUAAUUGUUAAAUGUUAUCAACAAAGUAAAUCAUUGAUUAUCAAUGUAUCAGUGUAUAAAGUAGAAGGACUUGAACAUUUUUACAUAAAUUAACCCAAGUUUACUCAAUUGCGGACAUUUUUUUUGUUCCACAUUUUUGAAAACAACUAUAAAUAUGAUGUGCAAAAUGUAAUUUUUAACAAGUGUUUAUGUCAAUUUAACAAAUUAAAGAGCAAAACUAUGUUAAUAAAUGAAGAGAGAAAUAUGAUUUUUUGAAAAAGUCAAGCUUGCGAGCGCGUAAGCUUCUUGUCUUGUGCGACUCGCCAUAUUGGUUCAAAAGUGUUGGUACUCAUAGAUAUCGAGAUACGACGACUUUUUUGUAAAUGGACGCAAAACAAAAAGAGUCAAGAAUGGAAGAGACAAAGAUCAUAUAUCACAUUGAUGAUGAAGAGACCCCUUAUUUAGUCAAAUUGAAUAUAGUCCCAGAGAGGGUAACUCUGGCUGAUUUUAAAGCUAGUCUGAAUCGCCCUAAUUAUAAGUUUUUCUUUAAAUCAAUGGAUGACGAUUUUGGAGUUGUAAAAGAAGAAAUUGUUGACGAUGAUGCUCAUCUUCCUUGCUUUAAUGGACGUGUCGUUUCUUGGUUGGUAUCAGCUGAAGGGAGCAAUGUAUCAGAUGGUACAUCGCAAUGCACAGAAUCAGUAGCACAUGGUGAACAGAAACAUGAUCAUGUUGAUCAUGUUCAUGGAGCUCCUGGACUAACAACUCGUGGUCCGCUUUCUCUUUCUCAUGAUGACACACUAACAGAAACGGAAAGUAUUAUAAGUAGUCGUCAAGGUCAUCAUUUGCAUAAAACUUCUAGACAUCAUACGGACAAAUACGAAAAAUAUCACAAAUACAAUGGUCUUCGCAUAAAUGGACAUUCUAAACAUCGAUCUGGGCAUGGUUAUGAAAGUGCAUCAAUUCUCAGUUCUGAUUUAGAGACAUCAACAUUUUUAGAAUCAGAUGACGAUGCAAGUAGCCGCAUUACAUCGACAACUGGAGGUAGACACACAAACAUGAGUAGUACAAUCGACAGAACAACUAUAGAUCGUCGUAGGCCUCAAAGGAGACGUCGGCACAGAUUACCACCAAUGUCCAGAGCAUCUUCAAUUAGUAGUAUUACAGAUAGCACAAUGUCUUUAAAUAUAAUAACAGUAUCUCUUAAUAUGGAUACAGUGAAUUUUCUUGGAAUCAGCAUUGUAGGACAAAGUAAUAAAGGUGGCGAUGGUGGUAUUUACGUUGGCUCAAUUAUGAAAGGUGGAGCAGUUGCCUUAGAUGGACGAAUAGAGCCUGGUGACAUGAUCCUUCAAGUGAAUGAUAUUAAUUUCGAAAACAUGUCGAACGAUGAAGCAGUUCGAGUUUUAAGAGAAGUCGUUCAAAAACCCGGUCCGAUAAAGUUAGUCGUUGCCAAAUGUUGGGAUCCUAAUCCAAAGGGUUACUUUACCAUCCCAAGAACUGAACCCGUUCGACCGAUAGAUCCGGGUGCAUGGGUGGCUCACACUGCAGCUAUUAGAGGUGAAGGAUUUCCUCCUCGACCUCCAAGUGCAACGACUCUGACUUCCACUUCCAGCAGCCUUGCAAGCACGUUGCCAGAUACAGAGCGAACUCUAGAAGAUAUACAUUUAACGAUAAAUACGGAUAUGCCAACUAUAGUGCGAGCAAUGGCACGACCUGAUUCAGGACUGGAAAUUCGAGAUCGUAUGUGGCUGAAGAUUACGAUUCCGAAUGCAUUUAUUGGAGCAGAUGUGGUUGAUUGGCUUCAUACACACGUGGAAGGUUUCAUAGAUCGACGCGAUGCCAGGAAAUAUGCUUCGUUGAUGCUCAAGGCCGGCUUCAUCAGACACACUGUCAAUAAAAUCACUUUCUCCGAGCAGUGUUAUUACAUAUUCGGCGAUUUGUGCUCGGCUAUAAAUAAUUUGAAACUCGACUGUGAUACAGUUGGGCCACUGCCACCGCCUAGUUCUUGGGAUAUGCCUUAUUCAGGAACGUAUGCUCCUCAUUCAACAACAGGCUACAGCCCAAUGCCAUUUAACUUUACUAGUGAGCCCACUGUUUACGGUUAUCACCGCGAUGAAAGUAUUCACAGUGGAUCAGGAGGCAGCAGUGCAGGUAGCGAACAUAUUUGCAAGGAGCCAAUUCACGAUGUUAAAUCAUGUUCGUCAGCUUCCGAAUCAGAGCUUCAAAUGCCAUCCGUGCCAGUAAUGCCAAAACAAAAUUCAGGUAAUGGAAAUGGUUCUAAUGGAAAGAGAUCUAAUGGUAGUCGCAGUCGAUCCAGUGGUUCUGAGCAAUCAGUACAAACGGGAACUGGACCGGGGAUUCCGUCAAAUCAGCAAGAUUUAUCCGGAUUAUCUACGACAAUGGGGCAGCUAUUUUUUUAAAGUCUUCAAGAUAUAUAUCAAAUAUCAAACGAACGAUUCGUCAACUUCAAUAGUAAAUUUCCAACUCUGCUAAAUGAGAUACUUCUCAGAAAGGAACAUGUAUAUAGUUAUAUAUUGUACUAAUACUAAAUGUGCCAUUUAAACAUUUUUUAAGAAAAGCAUUGUACACCGUCUCGGAAUCAUAAAUGCAUUUUGAAUUCAUUUUCUAUCAUGAGAUGUUUGCAUGAAUUUAUAUGGACUAUUGUAAAGGAAAACACAUUUAUUUUCUUCUUUAAUUUAAAUGAGGUAAGACAAAUCAUUUUUUUCACAAAAUAAUUUGAAACCGCUGUCAGAAUAAUUUGCGGAUCAUUUAUUAUUAUUAUUAUUUUAUUAUUAUUAUUAUUAUUAUUAUUAUUAUUAUUAUUAUUAUUAUUAUUAUUAUUAUCCAACAGCGAAAGAUAAUUGAUUCGCAAAUUAUUGCGACAUUUUAUUUAUUUUCGUGUGUUUUCAAUUUGUAUUAUUAUUAUUGUU